Molecule: ribosomal RNA, 253 nt
Filed under: uncultured bacterium
Lineage: Bacteria
Description: partial 16S ribosomal RNA
Rfam family: Bacterial small subunit ribosomal RNA
Source: RNAcentral
UACGUAGGGGGCAAGCGUUGCCCGGAAUCAUUGGGCGUAAAGCGCGUGUAGGCGGCUGGCUAAGUCCGCUCUGAAAGCCCGGGGCUCAACCCCGGGAGGCGGGUGGAUACUGGUCAGCUCGAGUCCGGAAGAGGAGUGUGGAAUUCCUGGUGUAGCGGUGAAAUGCGCAGAUAUCAGGAGGAACACCGAUGGCGAAGGCAGGUCUCUGGGCAUUAACUGACGCUGAGGAGCGAAAGCAUGGGGAGCGAACAGG